RNAcentral lists this long non-coding RNA (13274 nucleotides) under Linum usitatissimum (flax). RNAcentral's name for it is "long non-coding RNA (LUSI_LNC007794)". Lineage: Eukaryota; Viridiplantae; Streptophyta; Magnoliopsida; Malpighiales; Linaceae. The record is from RNAcentral.
GAUUCGAAACCCUCUCCAGGUAUCCAUAUGGGAACUCCAGACCUGACCCUUGCACAAAAUCUGUUCUGAUCACCCACAGGAAUGGUCUUCCUGUCAGUUCAAGACCCAAUGCAAGUUCCUGAAACUGCUGUUGACUUAGAACUGCGAUGCUUCCAAAUGCAAUGUAUAUUACUGAUUUUGGAGGAUGCUUGUCGAGCCAGGCCAGGCAAGUUUCAUCCUGAUGCCAAAAGCUUCCUCCUGAAUUAGUUGAAUUUGUAACCAAUGGACCUAUUGGGAGGAAAUGUGGGAACAAUUGAAAAACUGAUGGUUCGAGCUCAUGAAACGAGUUGAAUAUAACGUGGUCGAAAAGCAAACAGUGCUUGGAUGGCUGGGCAUAGUAGUUUUUGAAAAGAAAGGGCUGGAGUUCUUCAGGUUGAUAACUCCACGGUAACUCGUUAGCUUUCCAAGCAAGUAUCUCCUCAGAUAUCGAAACCGCUACCUCUCUGUCUAUUAAGAAUCCUGCAAGAAAAUGAUAAGAAAAUUUUGACAACUAUAAAAAUAUGAUUUAACGGAUUGAAAAUGCUAGUCUGAAAUUUGAUUACCGUUUUCAUCAAUAGUGCCAGCCUCAAUCAGUUGAGGAAUAUGAAGCAUCAGAGCGAAAUUCUCCAGCGAGGCAGUCCAAAGCGCAGCCGUUUUGAUCCCCAUUUCCUUGGCAACAAUAAACACUCCAGAAAGGAAAGCAUCGGCAAUCACCCAACUGAACUUCUCUUGCUCUUCAUCAUUACUUUGAGACUGCUGCUGAUUCAUCAGCAGCUCCCGUAUUUGAAUUGGCAGUACUUUCUUCACAGCCUCUGUGAACAUUCUAUGAUCACUGCUGUCGGAAUUGGAACGGAAUCCAUCAGGAAGUGAAACCAGCCUGAUCCCACCAUGGACCUGCUGCUCCUCUGCUAUAAUCAUGCGAUGAAUGAAAUCCAAAUUAGUGACAGUGACACUGAUUCCAUGGUCGGUCAACUUAUGUGCCAACUUGAGCAUGGGGAAAACAUGGCCUUGUGCUGGAUGUGGAACCAGAAGCACAUGUGGUUUCUUCUUGGUCGCCGGCAUGGAAAUGUGCUAUUUCCUUUGGUGGUGAGUAGUGGUUGUGACUUAGUUACUAACUAAAUCAUAUAUUCGACAUGUAAGGGUGAUUUAGUGUUUUUUUAGGUUGUUCUUGCCUUCACCUAUUUUAUAUUCUACCCUCUCUUUGUAUUGUCUCUAACACUGGUUGAAGAUAAGAGAACUCUAACCUCUCUUUUAACUUUUCUCCCAACUUAUUCGUUCUCCCCUCUGCAAUUUCAACACAGCUGUGUUUUUGUUGUGUUUCAUGCCAACAUCAUCCGAAAGCAACUUUUGGUGUUAUUUUCUAUUUUUUAUUUGUGAUGUUGGCCUAUUAGCAGGGGGUAUGUCAUCCAAAUGUCAUUACAAAGGACCUUAAAGUUAAGAAGAGAAGGACAAGCAAACUCAAGACCGUAUACAUGAACUCAUAACUGAUCAAUCACACAUUAACACUAUCAAGUACCAACUUCAAAAAGCUACCUUAUUGCUACUCACUUUGAACAUAGGUUGAACAGAAAAGCAAAGAAAAGAAGCCUUUUUUAUCUAUGUUAUUGCUAGUAUGGGCCAUUCAAUCUCAUGUAAGUAACAACUCUAAUGAAAUAGUUAAAGCAGUGACACAGAUUGUUAGUAAUCAGUUGAUACACGUUAAAAGUGAAUCAAGCAAUUAACAGAGCAUAGGCAGCAAUGAAUGGCUUCCAAAAAGGAAAGCCAAGAACAGGAUUUGCAUCAGCUGAAGCCUGAAAGAAAAAUUGUGAGAUACUGUUACAAUUGUCAUAUCAUGGUUCUAAUGCGACCGAAAGACGAUAACCAUUGUUCAUAUGAAAUAAAUUUCGCCAUGGAAAGUCAAGGGACAAAUCCAGACUACAGAGGAUUAGCAAUGUAAAGCAGACAAAAUGAAGCAUUGAAUAACUAUAUCUUGUGGAAAACAGUGAGCCUUCAAUGUGAAAUUGCAAACACCAAAGAAAAGGUUGCAAGUACCGAAAUACAGUACUCAAAAGAGUAAAGCCAACCGUCGACACAAAAAAACAGGGAAGCAUAUGAUAGCAACAAUGAUCCAGCCUUUUAUUUACCGCUAUACCCAGUUAGUAAUCCAAUCUAAUGAACUGAAGUACACAAGGGUAAAGAAGAGAUAAUGAAAAUGGAGUGGCCAAAAUCAAAAGAUUUGACAGAAUUAAGAGUCGUUUGGACGGGUGUGGUUUAGACUUUAAUGGUCAUUUGAUCUUAAAUUAUCAGUUUAGACACUAAAAGAAAAUAUAUUUGAAAGUGAUUUANNNNNNNNNNNNNNNNNNNNNNNNNNNNNNNNNNNNNNNNNNNNNNNNNNNNNNNNNNNNNNNNNNNNNNNNNNNNNNNNNNNNNNNNNNNNNNNNNNNNNNNNNNNNNNNNNNNNNNNNNNUCUGUUUUUAUUUCAAGUUCAUAUAAUCAUAAAUAAAUUAGAAUAAUUUAGUAAUUAAUAUUGUUUUCUUUUUAUUUAACUCUUUUAUAAUAAUUAGACGUAAAUCAAGCACAAUCACCAAUUGAACUAAUCUAUUUUGAUAAAAUUUUAGUCAAUAGAAAAAUUCUAUAAAAUGAAGUAAAGAAUCGAAAAAAUAAAGUGAGUGAGGAGACAAGAGACCAACUAGUUCUCGUGGAGUAGCACAAUUUAUUGAAUUAGGUAUUGGCGAUUUAGAUGUAUCGAAUUUGAAUUUUUCGCACCCCACAUAUAGAUAUUUAUAUUAUGUUCAAUUUCUUUACUUGAUUUUGUAACUAUAACUUUACCUUAUCUAUCUUCGGGGAAAAAAUAAAGAUAAAAAACAAAGUAAAGAGUUGAUACGUUUUCGUCUAAAAAGAGUACGGUCGAAAGAAAAGGCUAGGGAUCAAAAUUGCAAUGAAGUAUAAUACGAGGUGCAUCUUGUAGUAGUGCAAAUGUUUUGGUAUGAGUAAUGUUCAGACACCAUGACAAAUAAAACCCCAACUAAGAUUCUAAGAACACAAAUUAACCUCAAGAAAUUGUGGAAAGAAGAGCCACCCUCAUUCACAGUUUGUCUAACAACUUCCCUCAACCUAUUUGCAUUGUCUUUUAUGAUUUCAUCAUUAAGGAGUUGUUCAACCUUGCUAGCAAUUUCAGACAUGGUGAUCAACCCUGCAGUUCCAUCUUCUUCAACCUUCAAUUUCAGGCCGACCUUCCAAGCUUCACAUAUAGAUUUCUUGUCACGGAACUGAUCCACAAAGUAAGGCCAACACAAAAAUGGAACUCCACACCACAACCCAUCCAGUGUGGACUUCCAUCCGCAAUGGCUUUAUUUGUCCACUCCACCAUUUUUCCUCGAUCUGAAAUCCUCUCCGGGUAUCCCUCUGGGAACUCCGGACCUUGCACAAAAUUUGUUCUGAUCACCCACAAUAAAUGGUCUUCCAGUCAGUUCAAGACCCAAUGCAAGUUCCUGAAACUGCAGUUGAUUCAGAACUGCCAUGCUUCCAAACGCGACGUAUAUGACUGAUUCCGGGGGAUGGUCGUCGAGCCAGGUCAAGCAAGUCUCAUCCUGACGCCAAAAGCUUCCUGAAUUAGUUGAAUUUGUAACUAAAGGACCUAUUGGGAGGAAGUGUGGGAACAAUUGAAAAGAUGAAGGUUCCAGUUCAUAAAACGAGUUGAACAUGACGUGGUCGAAAAGCACAUAGUGAUUGGACGGCUGGGUAUAGUAGUGCUUGAAAAAAUGGAUCUGGAGUUCUUGAGGUUGAACACUCCAUGGUAACUCGUUAGCUUCUCAAGCAAGAAUCUCUUCAGAGAUCGAAAUUGGCAAUUUUUGUCUGUUAAGAAUCCUAUAAGACAAAAGAAAUGAUUAGUGAGUCUGUGGAGCCAGAGAAAUGACUCUAGAUAUGAUCCAUGAAGAAUUAAUAAAUUUUAACCGUCCAAAAAUUUUAUAUUAAAUUUAACCAUUGAAGAUAAGAAGAUAAAAUUGACAGUUUACACCAAAACCCUAAUAAUUAUAGCCGACCUUCAAAACCAUAUAAAUGUUACAUUUAUGUACGUGUUUAUACAAACUCUUAUGAUCCGUAUAAUUCUCCGUACAAAAUUGUACUGCUGGUCAUCGGAAAAAAUUUCCAGAUUAAUAAAUUUUCCUACAAACGUAAAUCCAACAACGAUAAUCACGUGGUUGAAAGAAUUUUCGUAAACAGAAAUCAAAGUGACCGGUUUACUAAUUAAGAAACUUUCCGGUGUCCGGAAAAAAAUGAUGGUCUGGUCAACGGAGACACUGGUGCGGCAAUUGAAAAUGACAAGAUGCUAGUCUAAAAAAAAAUUAAAAUAUAACAUUAUCAUAUUGCCUCUGGUUGAUUUAUACACUUAGAUCAUGUCGAAAUGUAAAAGCUCAAAUUACUUCUAGAUCGAAUGAAGAAGAAAAUCUCCUGACUCCAAAACCGGACACAUGAUUAGCGGACUGGAAAAUGAAAAGGCUGGUAUGAAAUUAAUCUCCAGUUGAUUACCGUUUUCAUCAAUAGUGCCAGCCUCAAUCAGCUGAGGAAUACGCAACAUCAGCGCUAAAUUCUCCAUGGAGGCAGUCCAAAGGACAGCCGUUUUGAUCUCCAUUUCCUUAGCUACUACAAACACUCCAGAAAGGAAUGCAUCGGCGAUCACCCAACUGAAAUUCUCUUGCUCUUCAUGAUUAUAACUUAGAGACUGCUGCUGAAGCAGCAGCAGCUCCCGCAAUCGAACCGGAAGUACUUUCUGCUCAGUAUAGGUAAAGUUCACAACAUCACUGAUGUCGAAAUCGGAACCGAUUCCGUCAGGAAGUGAAACCAGCUUGAUACCACCCCCAUGGCCCUGCUGCUCCUCUGGCGCAAUCUUGCGGUGGAUGAAAUCCAAAUUAGCGACGGUGACGCUGAUUCCAUGGUCGUUGAGCUUAUGUGCCAACUUGAGCAUAAAUUAACUGCACUACUAAACAUCGCCCUAACUUUCGUAAAAAAUCAUCCUAACUUUAAACUGUGAACAGUAAAAUUACGAAAAUACCCUUCAAUUCCGUAUUAAAAACCGGAGAACAGAAUCAUUCAGCAUCACUUUCACCAUCCCACACAAAUUUUUCUCUGAAAAAAUAAGCCCUAGUUCUAGCUGUUCGUACCGCCGCCGCCGCCAACUUCAUCACAACCCACACCGACGCAACCGCCGCCGCAAAAAAGGCAGGAAAAAAAAUCGACGCGUAAUGAACUGUAAUUAUAAUCAAUUAAUUCAAUUAAACAUAUCAUUAUUACGAUAAUAAUUAUUUAAAAUUAAAUUAUUACGAUAUAAUUGAAAAACGUAUAAUCAGUACGAAAUUAGAUAAUUAAGAUUCACACUUAGACACAAAUAAUAGCAAAAAAAUUUACAAAAUUAUAAUUAAGCAUAUUAUAGAUAAAACUACUAACAAAAAAGUAGUUGUUAUGUAACAUACGUAAUGAACUGUAAUUAUAAUCAGUUAAUUCAAUUAAACAUAUCAUUAUUACGAUAAAAUUAUUUACAAUAGAAUUAGUACGAUAUAAUUGCAAAAUAUAUAAUCAUUACGAACUUAGAUAAUUAAUUUCCACAAUUUGGCACAAAGNNNNNNNNNNNNNNNNNNNNNNNNNNNNNNNNNNNNNNNNNNNNNNNNNNNNNNNNNNNNNNNNNNNNNNNNNNNNNNNNNNNNNNNNNNNNNNNNNNNNNNNNNNNNNNNNNNNNNNNNNNNNNNNNNNNNNNNNNNNNNNNNNNNNNNNNNNNNNNNNNNNNNNNNNNNNNNNNNNNNNNNNNNNNNNNNNNNNNNNNNNNNNNNNNNNNNNNNNNNNNNNNNNNNNNNNNNNNNNNNNNNNNNNNNNNNNNNNNNNNNNNNNNNNNNNNNNNNNNNNNNNNNNNNNNNNNNNNNNNNNNNNNNNNNNNNNNNNNNNNNNNNNNNNNNNNNNNNNNNNNNNNNNNNNNNNNNNNNNNNNNNNNNNNNNNNNNNNNNNNNNNNNNNNNNNNNNNNNNNNNNNNNNNNNNNNNNNNNNNNNNNNNNNNNNNNNNNNNNNNNNNNUUUGGACGGCUGAGUAAUUUUUUACGAAAAAAAUUCACUAAAAUUAGAAUUAAUCAUAUCAUUAUCAUAAUAUAAUUUUUAAAAAUAUAAAUAUUAUUAUGUACUUAUAAAAUAUUUAAUUUAUAUAAUAUUUUGACAUAAAAAUCGGUUAAAUUGACCGGCCAUCUGGUUUGGGCGGCUGGGUCAUUUUUUCCAAUUUUUUUUAUACUCACCUUCACCGUAUGACGAAUACGACGAAUCCGCGAAAUUCUAUCACAGCGGUGGUCCGGCGAAACUCCGGCGACUCUCCUGCAAGACAAGGAAGAAAAUAAUAACAAAUGGGCAGUGUACGAAUGGACUUCAUUGGUCCUUCAAUAUUUAAAGCCAACAUAAGGGGUAUUUUCGUAAUUUACUGUUCACAUUUUAAAGUUAGGGUAAUUUUUUUCGAAAGUUAGGGCGAUGCUUAGCAGUCCCCUAAAUUAAAGGAUAAAGAGAAUAAAUAUUUUAAUGGUGAUUGAUUGAAAAAAGUAAAUCACAAAAAAUGCUCCAUUUUCGAAAUAUGCUUAUGUGAUAAAUUUUAAAUCUGAAAAUACUUAAUAUAUAUUGUUGAUGUGUUGCUAUAACCAAUUGUAGACAUUGCUAGCUAGUUAUGGAAGGAGGCCGAACCCGUAGACAAUUGUAAUGACUAGUUUCAUAUAUAUGGUCGGACCCUUAUCGGAGUCUCACUAAAGAAGUCUUGUUGACAAUUAUAACUAGUUAUCAUAUUGUGUAACAAGUUAUAGAAACUAUAAUUAGUUACACACACCUGUAACAUGUGACUAUAACUAGUUAUGAAAAAGUGAUCGAAAGUUCGUUCGACCCCAACUAAGAACACAAAUUAUCGACAAAACUCAUGAAACUGCGGAAAGAAGUGCCAUCCUUGUUCACAGUAGCCCGAGCAAGUCCCCUCAACAUAAUCGCGUUACUUUUUAUGAUUUCAUCAUUAAACAGUUGUUCAAUCUUGUUAGCAAUUUCCGACAUGGUGAUCAAUCCUGCAGUUCCAUCUUCUUCAACAUCCAAUUUCAGACCGACCUUCCAAGCUUCACAUAUGGACUCCUUGUUAUGAAACUGAUCCACAAAGUAAGGCCAACACAGAAACGGAACUCCAGACCACAACCCAUCAAGCGUAGAGUUCCAUCCGCAAUGGCUCAGGAAACACCCUACGGAAGGGUGAGAAAGGACCUCCUCUUGGUUCGUCCACUCCACCAUUUUCCCACGAUUCGCAACCCUCUCUAGGUAUCCAUCUGGGAACUCCAGACCCGACCCUAGCACAAAAUCUGUCCUGACCACCCAGAGGAAUGGUCGUCCUGCCAGUUCAAGGCCUAAUGCAAGUUCCUGAAACUGCUGUUGACUGAGAACUGCAAUGCUUCCAAAUGCAACGUAUAUUACUGAUUUCGGAGGGUGCUUGUCGAGCCAGGUCAGGCAAGUUUCAUCCUGACGCCAAAAGCUUCCUCUUGAAUUAGUUGAAUUUGUAACUAAUGGAGCUAUUGGGAGGAAGUUUGGGAACAAUUGGAAAGCUGACGGUUCCAGUUCAUGAAAUGAGUUGAUUAUGACGUGGUCGCAAAGAAAACAGUGCUUGGAUGGUUGGGUAUAGAAGUUCUUGAAAAGAAAGGACUGGAAUUCUUCAGAUUGACAACUCCAUGGUAACUCGUUAGCUUUCCAAGCAAGUAUCUCGUCAGAGAUCGAAAUCGGUAACUCUUUGUCUGUUAAAAAUCCUGCAAGGAAAAAGAAAAUGAAUAUUCCAAGCAUUUAUAUGUAUGCAUGAUUAGCUGGAUUGAAAUGAAUUAGAUGAUUACCGUUUUCAUCGAUAGUGCCCGCGUCAAUCAGCUGAGGAAUACGCAACAUCAGAGCGAAAUUCUCGAGCGAGGCAGUCCAAAGCGCAACCGUUUUGAUUCCCAUUUCCUUGGCGACAACAAACACUCCAGAAAGGAAUGCAUCAGCAAUCACCCAACUGAAUUUCUCUUGCUCUUCACCAUCAUCAUUACUUAGAGACUGCUGCUGAAUCAGAAGGUCCCGCAAUUGAACCGGCAGUACUUUAUGCACAGAAUCUGUAAACCUCACUACAUCACUGAUGUCGAAAUCAGAAUUGUAUCCGUCAGGAAGUGAAACCAGCUUGAUACCAAUACCACCAUGGCCCUGCUGCUGCUCCUGUGGCGCAAUCUUUUGGUGAAUGAAAUCCAAAUUAGCGACGGUGACGGUGAUACCAUGGUCGGCCAGAUUAUGUGCCAGCUUGAGCAUUGGGAAGACAUGGCCUUGUGCCGCAUGUGGAACCAGAAGCACAUGUGGUUUCUUCUUGGUCGCCAUGAAUUAAAGGUUGUGGCCUUCACCUAUUUCAUCUUUUAUCCUACUCCUUGUAUUUGUCUCCAACACUCAUUGAAGAUAAGAGAACUGUAACUUCUCUUUGACUUUCUCCAAACUUGUUUAUUUUCUGGAAUGCAUUAAUAGAUACGUACAGCUGUGUUUUUGUUGUUUUCCAUGCAAACAUCAUCCGAAAGCAACUUUGUGUCAUUGUUUUUUAACGUCUGAUGUUGGCCUACCAGAAGCAGUGGCUAACAUCAUCCAAAUGCCAUUACAACGGAUUUGAAGUUAAGAAGAGAGGGUCGAACAUACUCAAAACCAUACAUAUCAAGUCAUAACUGAUCAAUCCAAUACAAAUCAACACCAAUUUCAUUUUCCAAAUGUUAACAGCAACAACUGGCCAGACACUUUACUAGAGUUUCGUAAAUUAUUAAUGUAAUAUGUAACUCUCAAUUACGGUCAGUCGCGGUCCAAUAAGAAUUUAUAACUUAUAAUUAAAACUAGUUUUAAAAACUUGCUAUAGCUAAUUUUUUUUCCGAAAAAGAUGGUAACCAAAUUUGUCAUUCAAUCAAAACGUUCAAAAAGAGCAUACAAAGUGCCCAUCGGAGGUACAGACUCCACAAACGGAGCUGCAUGGGCCCCAGAUCUCCGCCAAAAAGCAUCAACCACGGUCCUUACUCACCCGUAUAGGGAUAACGGCAAUGAAACAUAGUCACCAUAAAACAAUAAGCAAAAGUGGGAUUAUUACUAAAAUAAAACCUAGCUUUGGACACUUUAAGGUCUUUAUUGAAAACACCAUAAGGCUACUCUCAUGGUUAUCCGCGUGUUCCGGUUAGUUGAGCGGUUCUAACCCCAGCAAGUGGGCGAUCAGAGUAAUCCGGGGCGCAUCACUCUCCGUCCUUGAAGUCCUCCUCUCUCAUUCCCCUGUCGAAGGCUUCAGGUGCCGCACCGUUGUUCCCAGUGCCGCAAAGCCUGGAAGUCAUAGUGGGUCGUGACUCUGCAGUUGCGGCGGCUGACUGGUAUGCUGGAUCCCAUGGUGCACCUACCCACGACAGCGAGCGAGAGGGAUUGGGUAGCGGGUUGGGUUGGACACCUGUGCUGGGUCACCAGAGGAUUUGUAGAUCCAGGUCGUGCUUCGUUGCAGUGACUUAUAAUGGCCGCCACAACCGAAAACCAAGCUUCAGACCCUAGCUUGAUUCUUACUAACUCCAUGCGCGCUUAAUCUGCUAGGGUUUCUAUCAAAAUCACAAUAUCCGCAUCAUGCAUCUGAAUCAAAUCGCCAACAACAUUGAUAGCUUGAGCUUGCUCCAAUUCAUAUAAUUCCAUCACAUAAUUAUCCUCGUAACCGACACGGAACUCGUGACGGCGGCCGUCGGCAACAAGCCUCUACGCGUGAUGUGCGGAUUUUACCCCGCUAUCAAAUACCCACUAGAUUGCUCUAGUAGGAUCGUAAAUUUCCCUAGGGUUUUUCUAGUUCUAUUAUUCAAGUUGAUUGACUAACUAGACCAAGUGUCAGUGUACUGAUUGUUUGUUUGAUUGUUUCAAGUAACCAAUUUACACUAAGAAUGUAAAUCAAAGGAAACCAAAUUCAAGAGAUUGAGUUUCAGGUAUGGAAUGAAGGUUACUCGGAUUCGAAUCCACUAGAGUUAGCAAUGCAUGGAUGAACGACAAGUUAUCUCGGUAAUUCAGGUUAUAAUGGCUUGACAAUUUCCUAAUGUAGUCUUAGAUAACUCUCGCGCCUCUAACGAUCUAUUUCGUCUAACCGUCGACUCCUCUCUCGAGCUAAUCUACGCCUAAACAAAACACAUUAAUAAUGUUCGAUGAAAUGCCACAACGAUAAACGUGCAAAAAGCCUAAACGAUUCGCUCCUCUCUCGNNNNNNNNNNNNNNNNNNNNNNNNNNNNNNNNNNNNNNNNNNNNNNNNNNNNNNNNNNNNNNNNNNNNNNNNNNNNNNNNNNNNNNNNNNNNNNNNNUGACCUAUCAACUUAUGUUUCUCUCGGACCCACAAAUCAAUGCGGCCAGACAAAAUUGAAUCGAAAAUUAGGUUUUAGGAAGAACGCAUCAUAAGUAUGAAUAAACCUCAAUAACCAAUCAAAUCAUCCAUAUAAAAGUUUAGCUAAAGCUUCUUCUCGUCCGAACAACACGAAAAGUUUAGCUACUCAUGGUUCGGGAAGUAAGAAGGGAAAAGGAAGUGAGAACAACCCGAAAAAACACUAUGAUCCGUUGAGAAUUCUCAAUCCUAUCGUCGAUCUUCGCUCCUUCGCCAAUCGAUGAUAAUCAAUCACUUCAAUCGGUCUUUGUGACUCUCUCUCUCUCUCUCUCUCUCUCUCCAAGAGCUCGAAAAUAUGUGUAGAAUGAAAGAUCAGGAAUCCUAACUCUCUCCAAGAGCUCGAAAAAUAUGUGUAUAAUGAAGUAUAUCUCGUCCACAGGGGUCUCAGGGGUAUUUAUAGGCUUCUGAACCAAGUUGGAGAAGGAAAAGUACUUGAAAACCCAUCUGGGGUCUAACACGGCGUGCUCCAUAUGGAACACGCCGUGUUCCUGUCCGUAUUCGACCCCUGUAACUUUCUCGGGCAAUUUCAGCGGAGGAACACGCCGUGAUCCUUCAUUAUACGGAAUUUGACCAGAGUGUCAACCUAAAAGUUGUAAAAAAUCGAAUUAUCUUUCCAACAUCGCUGACCUUGCAUCAAUUGGACUUUGGAGCGAUGAGUUAUGCUAAAAAUACUAAACAGUGACGCUUUCUUCCCAAGUCGAACGCUUUGAGUUGUUCCGGCCUCCCCGUCAUGUUUUGGUUAUCUCUAAACAUCAUAUGACACCUGAAAUGUACCAAAAACAUACCAAACACCAUAAUACGGCCCCGAGGGGCAAGAGAACCAAACAUGUACUCAAAACCCGAAUUUGAAUACAUUUUGACACACAACAGUAUAGUUUAUAACGAGAAAAGAUGUGUCAAAAAUACAUCACAUCAACACGAGAGGAGCAGCUAGGGCAAUAACCCUUGCUAUAGCUAAUUUAUUCUUACAGUGACAAUAAAAAGAGGUGUUCACGCAACAAAAUUCUCUGAUAUGUCAUCCAAAUGUCAUUUACAUAGGAUUUGAAGUCACGAACAGAGGGACAAACAUACUCAACACCAUGCAUAUGAAGUCACAACUCAUCAAUCAUAUACACAUCAACACCAAGGUAAUAAACAGUAAGCAAAAUGAUAAGAUUUUUUUAUUUAUUUAGGUUUGCAAGGACAGUCAUUUGCCAAGGACUAGAAGUCAAGAUGAGAGUAGCAAACAAACAAUCACAAAAUUCAGCUAUUGGCAUCGGCGCCGAACCAACCUAACGUCACAUUUUCCACCACACUUAUAUGAACCAACUGCUAGGAAAUUACUUACUCAUCACACACCAAAUUAAACCAACUUGUUGCUAAGUAAAUUAUGUAACUAUGGCGCCCAGCAAACCCAUGUGGUUGUUGUUCCAGUCCCGGCGCAAGGCCAUCUAUCCCCUCUCAUGAAGUUGGCACACAAGUUAGCCAACUCCGACAUCAAUAUCACAGUCAUCAACACGGAGACCAUACACCAGAAAAUUGUUGGUGCAAUGCCAGACAAGGGGCAGAGGCAAAUAAUUGUAGAGUAAGGCUCGUUGGAGUUCCUGACAGCCUGCAGUCUGAGCUCGAUAAGAACAAUCCGGUGAAACGAAUCGAAAACCAAGAGAGAGUAAUGCCGGCUCAUUUGCGGCGGCUAGUCGAAGAAAUCAAUAGCAACGAUGAGGAGGAGGUGGUUUGUAUCAUUGCUGAUAUUAUCCCUGGCGUGGCCAUUCCACGAGGCUAAGGCAAUGGGGAUCAAAACGGCUGCGUUUUCCCCUCCUAGUGCUGCUAACUUGGCCCUCAUUUUGCACCUCCCUGGGCUCCUUGGGAUCCUCAAUCACAAUGGUUAUUGUUUCUUCAUGAAUAAUAUAAAAGUUAAUUCAAAUUCUCUCACAAUAAGAAUUUGAUUUUCGAGCGAGGAGAGUUCCUUUAUGGAUCCCAUUCAGGAGUGAUCUUGGCUUUUUGAAUUCUACAUGAUUUAAGGAUUUAUAUUAACUAGAGGUAAUAUUGUUAUGUUGUUUUAAAUAUUUUUAUUGGACUAAAACCAAUCAUCAUUUAGUCCUACUCACAAGCCACAUCAUUAGAACAUAAUUGGUUGACGAAACUCGAGAAACUGUGAAAAGAAGAGCCACCCUGAUUCACACUUUCCCUAGCAACUUCCCUCAACCUAUUUGCAUUGCCUUUUAUGGUUUCAUCAUUAAGAAGUUGUUCAACCUUGCUAGCAAUUUCAGACAUGGUGAUCAGUCCACUUCCAUCUUCUUCAGCCUUCAGUUUCAGGCCAACCUUCCAAGCUUCACAUAUAGACUCCUUGUUAUGGAACUGAUCCAAAAAGUAAGGCCAGCACAGAAACGGAACUCCACACCACAACCCUUCCAGUGUGGAGUUCCAUCCGCAAUGACUCACGAAACACCCAACGGAAGGGUGAGAAAGCACUCGUGCUUGAUUCGUCCACUCCACUAUUUUCCCCAUAUUCGCAACCCUUUCGAGGUACCCAUUUGGAAAUUCCAGACCUGACCCUCCUGGUCCUUGCACGAAAUUCGUUCUUAUCACCCAGAGGAAUGGUCUUCCUGCCAGUUCAAGUCCCAAUGCAAGUUCCUGAAACUGUUUUUGACUCAGAAUUGUGAUGCUUCCAAAUGCGACGUAUAUGACUGAUUUCGAAGGAUGGUUGUCGAGCCAGGUCAGGCAAGUUUCAUCCUGACGCCAAAAGCUUCCUCCUGAAUUAGCUGAAUUUAUAACCAAAGGACCUAUUGGGAGGAAGUUUGGAAACAGUUGAAAAGCUGACGGUUCCAGUUCAUGAAAUGAGUUGACUAUGACGUGGUGGUAAAGCGAAC